The sequence is a regulatory RNA element, 55 nucleotides long. It matches the Rfam family "Ribosomal protein L13 leader". Rfam says of the family: This family is a putative r-protein leader autoregulatory structure found in B. subtilis and other low-GC Gram-positive bacteria. It is located in the 5' untranslated regions of mRNAs encoding the L13-S9 (rplM-rpsI) ribosomal protein operon. The record is from Rfam.
GGUACUGUUUACCCCACGAUAAGCCCCGGAAACUUACUUGGUGUUUAAACAGACA